This is a long non-coding RNA of Helianthus annuus (common sunflower), 661 nucleotides long. RefSeq lists it as uncharacterized. The record is from RefSeq and is a predicted model, not a curated record. The transcript is spliced from 3 exons. Lineage: Eukaryota; Viridiplantae; Streptophyta; Magnoliopsida; Asterales; Asteraceae.
UCCACUAGUGCAAAACAUGACGAGAUCGAAUUUGAGUUCUUGGGGAACUCGACAGGGGAGCCUUACAUGGUACACACAAAUAUUUACACUCAAGGUCAAGAUAACAGAGAGCAACAGUUCAAAUUAUGGUUUGACCCAACCGCCAGUUAUCACAACUACAUAAUCCAUUGGAAUCCAACUGAUGGUAUGUUGAUAGUGUGCCAAUUCGAGUCUUAAAAAACUCCACAAUGCAAAGGGAUCACGUACCAAACCAACAAAGGAUGCGAGUCUACUCCAGUUUGUGGAAUGCUAAUAACUGGGCUGCAGCCCACAAGUUUAUGUCAGUGGAGCUCCUCGAGCCGUUUAAAGCUGCAACCCACAAGUUUUUCCUCAACCGGCUGAAAAGGAGGUCAUGUAUCUCAAAUGGAAGAGUUUAAGUCGAUGGAUAUCAAUGAAAACCAUGUGUAUGUUCUUCUAAAUCCGUUUAUCAAUCAUGCACAAAAGGAUCUCUUAGUGACCAUUUCUGAAAGUAGUAUUUUGCCUAAAACUAUAUCUCCCUUGUAACAACCCGCGUUUUGAAAGAUAAAGUACAAGUCAAAGUCAAAGUCAAAGGAAGAAAAAGAUUGCUAAUUGCGAUCUGUCACUCUUUGCCUAAUUAUUGAUUUGUACUUCUUGACUUGUA